Molecule: ribosomal RNA, 440 nt
Filed under: uncultured bacterium
Lineage: Bacteria
Description: partial 16S ribosomal RNA
Rfam family: Bacterial small subunit ribosomal RNA
Source: RNAcentral
CUACGGGAUGCUGCAGUGAGGAAUAUUGCACAAUGGGGGGAACCCUGAUGCAGCAACGCCGCGUGGAGGAUGACGCAUUUCGGUGUGUAAGCUCCUUGUAUAUGUCAAGAAAAUGACGGUAGCAUAUGAAUAAGCACCGGCUAACUCCGUGCCAGCGAGCCGCGGUAAUACGGAGGGUGCAAGCGUUACUCGGAAUCACUGGGCGUAAAGGACGCGUAGGCGGGCUUGUAAGUCAGGUGUGAAAUCCUACAGCUUAACUGUAGAACUGCACUUGAAACUACGAGCCUAGAGUAUGGGAGGGGGAGAUGGAAUUAGUGGUGUAGGGGUAAAAUCCGUAGAUAUCACUAGGAAUACCUAAAGCGAAGGCGAUCUCCUGGAACAUAACUGACGCUAAGGCGUGAAAGCGUGGGGAGCAAACAGGAUUAGAUACCCUCGUAGUC